UACGGAGGGUGCAAGCGUUAUCCGGAUUCACUGGGUUUAAAGGGUGCGUAGGUGGGCAGGUAAGUCAGUGGUGAAAUCUCCGGGCUUAACUUGGGAACUGCCAUUGAUACUAUCAAUCUUGAAUACCGUGGAGGUCAGCGGAAUAUGUCAUGUAGCGGUGAAAUGCUUAGAUAUGACAUAGAACACCAAUUGCGAAGGCAGCUGGCUACACGAAUAUUGACACUGAGGCACGAAAGCGUGGGGAUCAAACAGG
Molecule: ribosomal RNA, 253 nt
Filed under: uncultured bacterium
Lineage: Bacteria
Description: partial 16S ribosomal RNA
Rfam family: Bacterial small subunit ribosomal RNA
Source: RNAcentral